GGAGAGGUGGCUGAGCGGUUGAAGGCGUCGCUCUCGAAAAGCGAUAGGUUCGCAAGGGCCUCGAGGGUUCAAAUCCCUCCCUCUCCG
This 87-nucleotide transfer RNA is filed under the name Patescibacteria group bacterium. RNAcentral describes it as "tRNA-Ser". It matches the Rfam family "tRNA". Rfam says of the family: Transfer RNA (tRNA) molecules are approximately 80 nucleotides in length. Their secondary structure includes four short double-helical elements and three loops (D, anti-codon, and T loops). The record is from RNAcentral.